CUGGUCUCUGCUCGGCAACCACUCCGCACUCGAUCGUUGCUUCUCGGUGUGCCUGUGAUCGUUGUGCUGUCACGCGCUAUCAGGCACGAAUGUAUGCAUACGAAGGCAUACGCGUUUCUACAGUUGUUGGCAGGAAGCAGUUCGUGAGGAGUUCUUUUAUUGCUUCUUUGGCUGCCGCUGAACUUGGCGAGGAGGCAUGCAAAAGGCUCCGUUUGCCGCUGAGCACGCAUCUGUUCAGCGUUCGACGCAGCCCCGGCACGGCGAUGGCUCGCUUCAAACGCUGCGCCCAUUUUCUGUAGGUCCUGGCUCUGCAGUAUCUGCACAUGCACAGAGAUGGCCACUGCAGCCAGCGAAGGCACAUGGUAGCACUGCGACUAAGACGACGAUCCCUCCAUAUGCAAUCGCGGCCGGCGGUACCGCGGUCAGCUUUGCCGGCCCCACGGAAGCGCCUGACAGUUUAUUGAUGUCGUCGCCCUCGACCGCCUCCCCGGCGCCUCCAGCGUACACGGGUGCUGCGCUGCUUGCCGGAUAUACGAGCAGGCGAAAGAUCGUGCAGAAGGCGGCCGCCCUCUCCGCGCGCAUGCGCCGUCAGGUGCAGGAUGUUGUACAGAUGGAGGAGGAGCAGCGGCUGCUGUCGCAGGCGUACCGUGGCCGGCAGAAGCUUUUGGAGCAGCAGCCGCAACCGUUUCAGCAGGCCCAGACGAAUCCGAGAAGCGUAGCGGGCUUUGAGGACGCAAAAGCGGCGGGCGAGAAGGCAGCGUCGAAGGCAAGGGUGGAAACUGCUGGCGAUACGCCAUCUACACCUGGCCUUUCCUUCAAUCCAGCGUCGCCAGUCGAUGCUGCCGCGGCAUCACCCGACAAGAACAACCCUACACCGUUCCCAGAUGUCGAUAUCGGGCUAGCGUUAGAGGGGGCCUUGGACAUCAAGCAGUACCUAAAGCAGCAGGCGCAGGAGAAGAGCGACACCCUGAUCAAGAUGCGCGGGAUACAGCAGGCGAUCCUGGAGCUCAGCGAGGAGGCUACCGCCGACGUGGAGCGGCGCUUGACCCAAAGGAACUACUCAACCUCCGUCGAGGAGGCAGAUGAGCCCUCUAAAGCGCUCACGGCUGUGGACUUUGGCGGCCUAGCGACGGAUGACAAUGCCAACCGGCACCCUGCCUCUGUAACGGAGGCGAAAAGGAAGGUGGAAAUGAUUCAAGAGCUGCGGUCGACCUUGAAGGAGAUGCUCGACACUCACCAUGCACCUUUUGUGGCCCAGUACUCGACGGUUGGCAGAAGCGUCAGGAGGGGCACAACAGCGACAGAACUGCCAGGGUCGACGUGGCUUGAGCAGGACGCGGCGUACCGCCCCCCUGCACCUUUGCAAAUGUUCAGCACGAACGCGUUUGCUGUCACACUGGAGUACCUCAGCGACAGCAUUGCCUGCAUCGCACAUAUCGCAGACGAAGUGUGUGUCGCGACAACCUUCCGCUCACGCGCGGAUCCAGUGGUGCUGCUCCCCCACCUGGAAUCACUGCAGAAGUGGUUUGCGCAGGCUGAACGCUGCCUUGACACGGCGCAGCGGCAUCUCCGUCACUUCCAGUUGGGCGAAGCGGCUUUACUUGAUGGCGGCGCGUACGAGGUGAACAGCCUGCGCGAGCAGGCGCUCCUCUUGAGAGAGUCGCUAACUGCGCAUGAUCAGAAGGUGAAGGCAGUGGAGGAGGCGAAGGUGUCGGUGCUGCAUCGUCUUCGCGAGGUUUGCCGGCGCUGCUACCUCUGGGAGGCGCACUUACUUCACCGCAGAGACUCCGUCUACGGUGAUGGCGCCUCUCGGGUGUCGAGCUCACUGGAGGGGAUCGGCAGUGGAGCGGCGCUAGUGUACUUCUCCGCCCCUAAUGUGAAAGUGUUGGAGCCGACGCUGAUGCACGCGGGACCUAAUGUGGAUGCAGCUGGAACGAUGGUGCCCGAUAGCAGUCUUAGUAUUUCAUUUCCGUACACCACGGCACCUCCCCCAUGCGCCGAGGCUCGCCUCAUCGCCGCUACGACAGAGGAAGCCUCCUCCUCGGAGGUGACGAAAGCCAUCACGGCGCGGCCUUCGUCCACAUUGCGUAAUUCUCACCGAGGAGGCAAGUGGAGUUUCAGAGUCAGAAGUGAUGCCGCGUCACGGCCUCUGAACACCUCGUCGCCAAGCACGCCAUCUCUGUCACUGGCUUCCAUCUGCGCGCGCGCUCAUCAGCCACUGACGUCAUUGUCGCUGCGACUCAUUGAGCAGCGCGUUGCUCGCUCGUGGUGCAACCCGUAUGUCCGCAAAAAGUACCUAUGCCAGCGUGCAGAGCAGGUGAUGAUGCAGCAUCAGCCUCAGCAACAACAGCUUCAUGGGCGUUCAGCAGAGCAGCGGCGUUCUUUCUCGCGUGUGGGCGCCUCGAUAUCGGAAGACCUGGGGAGCGGAGGCCGCAAUCUGGCUAUGGAGGCAGCGCGGGCGCCGACCUCGCACCCGCCCAGCUUCAUCUCUUUUGACUCGGCUCACCGCCACCCAUCCUCGUACGCGAUCAUGGAUGCCACCGCCGCCGCGGAUGAUGCGGCUGGCCGAGUCGCGCUGCCGCGGCUGGGGUCACACACUGACGCCAGCCACAGCAGCACUGUUGCCGAGUCAAAGCGCAGUGCCAGCCGUGUCGCAGACUCCCUGGCAGCGUCGGUGGCCGGCUCGACAGCUGCCUUGGGGGAGUCGGUGGAAGAUCUGGCAGAUGCGCGCACCGUUCAGCUGCUGCAGAGCUUACUGCGCAGCAUACCUUCUAAAAACUGUGCCUUCCCUCGCGAUCACGCUAAAGGCACGGAAGGGAAGCGCGAUACCGGCGGCAACAGCGGCGAUGUAACGGCCAACUCAUCGCUGGUACAGCCACCCUGCAUUGAUGUAACACAGGAUGAGGAGAAAUGCGCUGCAAUGCGGCAUAGCAUCCAGCGACUCAGCAGGUAUCUGGCGACGUGCACAACACGUCCCGCAUCAAGCCGGCAGUCCAUCUUUCAAAAGUACCCCAAGGGCGGGGGACUGGCAAAUGCGUUUUGCGGAGAGGAUGAUAUGAGUGGGCGUAUCGACGCGAGCAAGGGGGCAGACGAAUAGAGGGGCGUCGGCGACAGAUAGAGGAGGGUGUAUGCGAGGGACCUCCCCGCCCCCGCCCGCCCCUUUCUGACGCUCUGGCGUUCGUUCUCGCAACUGUUGCGUUGUUACCACACCUCUCUCUCUGGCUAGCUGCUGCCGUUCCGCUCUCCUCACGAGCUCUUUUCCUUGACUUUUCUUCUGCCUUGCGCCCCCUCCCUUUCGUGUGCUCUUUGCUUGAAUCCCUCGUCUCCGCGGGUGUGAUGGUGAGACCGUGCGAGUAAACCGCUCAAUAUCUCAUGAAUUACGGAACGCGAGGCACCACCGCAACUGACUAGGCAGUGAAACGCGCACGCAUAACAGCGCAGACAGGCCGCUGCUGAGGAUGUGUAUGCCAUUUUUGUGAGAGUUUUUCGCUUUAUGUAUGUAUAUAUACAUAUAUUGUUUUGUUUUUCAUUCUUCCAUGUGUAACCGUACUCAUCAUGUGCAGUCGUUUCUUCUUCUGUUGGUGCCCGCAUCUUUCCACGCGCCUUCCUGCUUUGAAACCCUGUGUGCGGUGUGUCUCGCGCUCUCGCUAUCUGGACUGCUUUUGGAACUAUUGCAUUCAAAGUUGUGGUGUGCGUGUGCGUGUCUAUAGGUGGGUCUGAGCAUGAGGACCUGCAGCG
Molecule: unclassified non-coding RNA, 3738 nt
Filed under: Leishmania donovani
Lineage: Eukaryota; Euglenozoa; Kinetoplastea; Trypanosomatida; Trypanosomatidae
Description: gene:LdHU3.32.2690(CDS-product:hypothetical_prote in_conserved)
Source: RNAcentral